UUUUUAUUUUCCUUUUUUGGUGGGGCUGGGCUGGAGGUGCCGAGGUGGUCUGGUGGAAGUGGGGCUAGGGGACUAGGGUAGUGGCGGGCCUGUUGGGGCGACGGGGCGCUGGACGGCCCUGAGGGGCGGUGACGGGCCGGAGGGCCUUAGGGGCGGCGACGCGCUGGAGGGAUCGGGGGCGGAGACGAGGGGCUGGGCUGGAUCGAUGACGCCGGCGUGGGGUGGAGGCGGUCCUAGAGAGGAGGCGGUGUUGGUGCGGUCGCUCGUGGCGGGGAGAAGAGUAGGUAAAAUCGGUCCUGGAGCGGAGCGGUCCUGUUGUUGGGUCGGUAGGGGCGUGCAGUUACCCGACGACGGGGUGAGGAGGUAGAGGGGCCACUACGACGACCCGCCUCCGAGGGGGUGGCGCGUCGGAGGAUGUCCACGUCGAAGUGACGGCGUGGUGCCACAAUUAGCCGCGGAGGAGAUCGGCAAGUCCGAUGUUGUCAAAAGAGGGACUUGUGAAGACCCCUGGUUUUUUCCACACCAGCACAUCGCCGGCGGCCGCUCCUAGUUACCGUGACAUACUACGUGAAGUUUCACAAGCACAAUUACGGAGUUACUUUUUACUCAACACAUCAAAACAUAAAGUCACGCUCGUGUGAGUUUAGGAACUUUGACGGGUGCGGGUUGACUAAACAGAAGCACAAGCCGGAUGUAUUCGAUAAAAAUAAACACAGAUUUCGUCUUGAGUCCUUCAGUUAUACGGUGCAUGCUGCCGAUACGCAGCAAGCGCCACUUCAAGAUGAUGCCAACAUGUGGUUCAAGUUGAUGUCCAUAUACGAAUAUUUGUAAUAAUCUCUUUUGAUAUCCGGCGUCGGCACGGGGAGGCGACGUGGCGGGUAGUAGUGGGGGCAUGUGUCGGCCGGUGGCCCGUUGAGGAGGUCGCGCCCACGUUGUGAUGGCGACGAGUGUAGGAGCGGGGUGAACGACCACAGAAGGUGAGAUCCGCGCCAACAUCGUUCGUUUGUUUUCGCGGUGACCAAGUAGGGCCUACGACGAACAUGAGGUACAAUACGUAAUAACAGGAUCUACCCCAACGUCUUUUCCUAACACAUCACACCGCACGCACCGACUCUUCUACUACAUUCUACCUUGUCCUAUCCCUACCUUGCACACCACCCCUUUUAGUCUCAAUAUGCGCC
Molecule: ribosomal RNA, 1181 nt
Filed under: Triticum aestivum (bread wheat)
Lineage: Eukaryota; Viridiplantae; Streptophyta; Magnoliopsida; Poales; Poaceae
Description: partial small subunit ribosomal RNA
Source: RNAcentral